RNAcentral lists this ribosomal RNA (629 nucleotides) under Arthrobacter livingstonensis. Its description in RNAcentral is "bacterial SSU rRNA". It matches the Rfam family "Bacterial small subunit ribosomal RNA", at positions 88 to 719 of the family's 1533-position model. Lineage: Bacteria; Bacillati; Actinomycetota; Actinomycetes; Micrococcales; Micrococcaceae. The record is from RNAcentral.
GGGAUUAGUGGCGAACGGGUGAGUAACACGUGAGUAACCUGCCCUUAACUCUGGGAUAAGCCUGGGAAACUGGGUCUAAUACUGGAUAUUGACUUUUCACCGCAUGGUGUUUGGUUGAAAGAUUUAUUGGUUUUGGAUGGACUCGCGGCCUAUCAGCUUGUUGGUGGGGUAAUGGCCUACCAAGGCGACGACGGGUAGCCGGCCUGAGAGGGUGACCGGCCACACUGGGACUGAGACACGGCCCAGACUCCUACGGGAGGCAGCAGUGGGGAAUAUUGCACAAUGGGCGCAAGCCUGAUGCAGCGACGCCGCGUGAGGGAUGACGGCCUUCGGGUUGUAAACCUCUUUCAGUAGGGAACAAGGCCAUCUUUUGGGUGGUUGAGGGUACUUGCAGAAGAAGCGCCGGCUAACUACGUGCCAGCAGCCGCGGUAAUACGUAGGGCGCAAGCGUUAUCCGGAAUUAUUGGGCGUAAAGAGCUCGUAGGCGGUUUGUCGCGUCUGCCGUGAAAGUCCGGGGCUCAACUCCGGAUCUGCGGUGGGUACGGGCAGACUAGAGUGAUGUAGGGGAGACUGGAAUUCCUGGUGUAGCGGUGAAAUGCGCAGAUAUCAGGAGGAACACCGAUGGCGAA